Molecule: ribosomal RNA, 502 nt
Filed under: uncultured crenarchaeote
Lineage: Archaea; Thermoproteati; Thermoproteota
Description: bacterial SSU rRNA
Rfam family: Archaeal small subunit ribosomal RNA
Source: RNAcentral
UCCGAGUGGUGUGGAUGUUUAUUGGGCCUAAAGCAUCCGUAGCUGGCUAGGUCAGUCCCUUGUUAAAUCCACCGAAUUAAUCGUUGGAUUGCGGGGGAUACUGCUUGGCUAGGGGGCGAGAGAGGCAGACGGUAUUUUCGGGGUAGGGGUGAAAUCCUAUAAUCCCGGGAAGACCACCAGUGGCGAAGGCUGUCUGCUAGAACGCGCCCGACGGUGAGGGAUGAAAGCUGGGGGAGCGAACCGGAUUAGAUACCCGGGUAGUCCCAGCUGUAAACGAUGCAGACUAGGUGUUUGGACGGCCACGUGCCGUUCUAGUGCCGCAGGGAAGCUGUUAAGUCUGCCGCCUGGGGAGUACGAUCGCAAGAUUGAAACUUAAAGGAAUUGGCGGGGGAGCACCACAAGGGGUGAAGCUUGCGGUUUAAUUGGAGUCAACGCCGGAAAUCUCACCGGGAGCGACAGCAGUAUGAAGGCCCGAUUAAAGGUCUUGCCAGACGUGCUGAGA